Molecule: non-coding RNA, 117 nt
Filed under: Nomascus leucogenys (northern white-cheeked gibbon)
Lineage: Eukaryota; Metazoa; Chordata; Mammalia; Primates; Hylobatidae
Source: Rfam by way of RNAcentral
GCCGGGCAUGGUGGCUCAUGCCUGUAAUCCUAGCACUUUGGGAGGCCGAGGCAGGUGAAUCCCCUGAGGUCAGGAGUUCGAGACCAGCCUGGCCAACAUGGUGAAACCCUGUCUCUA